UACGUAGGGGGCAAGCGUUGUCCGGAUUUAUUGGGCGUAAAGAGCGUGUAGGCGGUUUGGUAGGUCCGCUGUGAAAACUCGAGGCUCAACCUCGAGACGCCGGUGGAAACCAUCAGACUAGAGUCCGGAAGAGGAGAGUGGAAUUCCUGGUGUAGCGGUGAAAUGCGCAGAUAUCAGGAGGAACACCGGUGGCGAAGGCGGGACUCUGGGCCGAUACUGACGCUGAGGAGCGAAAGCGUGGGGAGCGAACAGG
RNAcentral lists this ribosomal RNA (253 nucleotides) under uncultured bacterium. Its description in RNAcentral is "partial 16S ribosomal RNA". It matches the Rfam family "Bacterial small subunit ribosomal RNA", at positions 524 to 776 of the family's 1533-position model. The record is from RNAcentral.